GCGCCGGAUGGUGGCUCGGUCCCGCAUGUUGUUGCCUCCCGCGCCAGCAACGCGAUCUGGGGAGAGAAGGCAGCGUUAGGCCCGGCCCGGCCCGGUACAGUAGGGUAAGGCCGGGCCCGUCCCGCCUAGCCCAAAAAGAGCCUGAGCCUCCAGCAACAGCUGCUCACUCAGCACAGAAAAGCUACUGGAUGCUGAGAAGCCCGUGCCACGCCCUGCUGCUGCAGCAGAGCCGAGUCCCACCAGGUGGGACAUAGCCAGCAGGAGAGGAGGCACCUUUCAAACAAGCAGAAGCCCACACACGCGUUUAUCUCGCUGCAUGCCUUGCCCUCCCUUGGCAAAAGCCUCCGGCAGCCUCCCCGAGACAUCUGAAGCUCGCAGUCUGAGGUGGGGCUGGGAGCCGGGCGGGCUCCGAACGCACCCCUUUGGGUGCCCUGGAGCCGCGGGUGUCAGGAUCCAGCCCCAGGGGGCCCCAUCCCAGCACCUUUGGAGCUCCUCACAUCAGAGGGGCUUCCCCAGGGCUGGCCUUGGCGAGCUGAGCACAGAUGGGGAGUGGAGCAAAGAGGUAAGAACCAGAGAGCAGCUCAACACCAGCCACCUGCACGUGGCCCCUGUGAAUGCAGAAGCCCACCAAGCACCCACAAGGUGGGUGAGGGCUGCAAGGACACUGCGAGCUGCAAGAGGAGCAGCAACGCCAAGCACCCCAUCCGCCUGCAAGCCCCCAGGCAUCUUCCUUGGCCGUGCCACACCGUUACGCCUACUUGAUCCAGAGAUGUGCCCACCUUGCACGUCCGUGGGCGCUCCCUGCACCCAGUGCCUGUGCCCUGCCUGCCCCGUGCUGCCUGCAGGGUCACCCCGCGCAGCUGGGGACCCCCAGGGUCACCCGUCACAGCUGGGGACCCCCAGGGUCACCCCGCACGCAGGGGUGGCUCGCCCGUGGGAUGCCCAUGCUGCAGAAUCGGCACAGAAAGGACAGUUUCCACCAAAAGCACAUUGUGCUCACUGCUAGGACAGUCUUGCUCUCAGUCAGCAAGGCAGAGAGAGCUACAUGCUACAAAAGAAGCUCUUUGAAGCCCUGGGUGGUGGAGAGUCCCAUGGGUGCCCGGCAUGGGCAUCGCGGCUGCCGCAGGGUGUCUCACCCAGCCAGCGGCCCCGUGCAGCACAUGCAGAGCCACUUCGUUCUGCCUAAUCCUUGAAGCAAUAAAAGAAGGCUGCAUUAAG
Molecule: long non-coding RNA, 1218 nt
Organism: Cygnus atratus (black swan)
Lineage: Eukaryota; Metazoa; Chordata; Aves; Anseriformes; Anatidae
Exons: 3
Source: RefSeq, a predicted model, not a curated record